GUCGAGAAUCUUUCACAAUGGGGGCAACCCUGAUGGAGCGACGCCGCGUGGAGGAUAAGGUCUUCGGAUUGUAAACUCCUGUCAUGCGUGAACAAGGUUGCUUGGUUAAUACCUGGGCAAAUUGAUGGUAACGCAAGAGGAAGAGACGGCUAACUCUGUGCCAGCAGCCGCGGUAAUACAGAGGUCUCAAGCGUUGUUCGGAAUCACUGGGCGUAAAGGGUGCGUAGGUGGCGUAGUAAGUCAGAUGUGAAAGCCCGGGGCUCAACCUCGGAACUGCAUCGGAUACUGCCAUGCUAGAGUACUGGAGAGGUGACUAGAAUUCUCGGUGUAGCAGUGAAAUGCGUAGAUAUCGAGAGGAAUACCAAAGGCGUAGGCAGGUCACUGGACAGUUACUGACACUGAGGCACGAAGGCCAGGGGAGCGAACGGGAUUAGAAACCCCAGUAGUCC
This 449-nucleotide ribosomal RNA is filed under the name uncultured bacterium. Its description in RNAcentral is "partial 16S ribosomal RNA". It matches the Rfam family "Bacterial small subunit ribosomal RNA", at positions 354 to 796 of the family's 1533-position model. The record is from RNAcentral.